AUACGGAGGGUCCAAGCGUUAUCCGGAUUCAUUGGGUUUAAAGGGUCCGCAGGCGGGAAAAUAAGUCAGUGGUGAAAGCCUACAGCUCAACUGUAGAACUGCCAUUGAUACUGUUUUUCUUGAGUAUAGAUGAAGUGGGCGGAAUAUAUCAUGUAGCGGUGAAAUGCAUAGAUAUGAUAUAGAACACCGAUUGCGAAGGCAGCUUACUAAACUAUUAUUGACGCUGAGGGACGAAAGUGUGGGGAGCGAACAGGAUUAGAAACCCUAGUAGUCC
This 274-nucleotide ribosomal RNA is filed under the name uncultured bacterium. Its description in RNAcentral is "partial 16S ribosomal RNA". It matches the Rfam family "Bacterial small subunit ribosomal RNA", at positions 523 to 796 of the family's 1533-position model. The record is from RNAcentral.